Molecule: ribosomal RNA, 267 nt
Filed under: uncultured archaeon
Lineage: Archaea
Description: partial 16S ribosomal RNA
Rfam family: Archaeal small subunit ribosomal RNA
Source: RNAcentral
ACAGUCACUGACAUUAGAUACCCCCGUAGUCCAGGGUGUAAACGCUGCAGACUUGGUGUUGGGAACCCUUCGGGGGUGCUCAGUGCCGGAGAGAAGUUGUUAAGUCUGCUACUUGGGGAGUACGUCCGCAAGGAUGAAACUUAAAGGAAUUGGCGGGGGAGCACCGCAACGGGAGGAGCGUGCGGUUUAAUUGGAUUCAACGCCGAAAAACUCACCAGCAGCGACUGUUACAUGAAAGUCAGGUUGAUGACCUUACUAGAUUUUCAG